CAAUAAGUCAACUUACUGGUUGUGCAUGGAAACUGACAACUGCAGGGUGGGAGAUGCAACAAUGGACUUGAGAACAGCAGGAAGUGUGUUGGUGGUCUUUCUCUGGUCUGUAGCAGUGGUACUCGGGAAAUAUGGUUGGAGUGUGACUUACACCAAGAAGAGUAUCUGUGCCUUGAAGGGGUCAACAGUGGAUCUGUCCUGCUCUUACACAUAUCCCAGAGGUCAUAGAGUCACAACAACCACAUGGAAUAAACGGAAGAGUUUAACUUGGACUCAAAUCCAAGAUAAAUAUUGUUAGCGUG
RNAcentral lists this long non-coding RNA (302 nucleotides) under Salmo salar (Atlantic salmon). RNAcentral's name for it is "lncRNA (ENSSSAG00000099716.1)". The record is from RNAcentral. Lineage: Eukaryota; Metazoa; Chordata; Actinopteri; Salmoniformes; Salmonidae.